UUUUUUGGUUGUUGUUUAUUUAUUUUUUAGUUGUUGAUGGACCUUUAUUUUAUUCAUUUAUCUAUAUGUGGUGCCGAGAAUCAAACACAGUGCCUCACGCAUGCAAGACAAGCACUUGACCAUUGAGCCACAACCCCAGCCCUCUUUCAGGUUUUGCCAUAAAUAUUCACAUACAAGUUUUUGUGUGGACAUAUGGUUUCAAUCCUCACAAUUUGGUUUUUACGCAAAACAUUAGCAUUAUUUGUUAAUCCCUCUCCCUUUAUACUGGCUUCCUGGGCAAGCACUCUACCACUGAGACAGUCUCACUCACUAAGUUGCCCAAGCUGGCCUCCAACUUUUGAUCUUCCUGUGUCAGCCUCCCAGUGCUGGGGUUGAGCCCAGGGCCUCCUGCAUGCUAGGCAAGCACUCUACAAGGAGCUGGAAUUACAGGUGUGUCCCACCAGGUACGGCAAACAUGACUUAUUCUAAAAUAAUUUUGGCCUAAAUCGAAUUUAACCUUCCAUAGCUGAAAAGACUCAAAAGCCUCCCCUUUAAGAAACAACUGGAAAAAAAAAAUGUGCUCAUGAAGGCAGCAGUGGGUUCACUCACCAACUGCAACUAUGUGAACGAGGGGGAAAUGGAUUGUGGAGCAAGGACCACCCACUCUGCCUUCAAGGAAUGUUUAUUGCAUCCUGGAUUGAGUCAGACCUUAGCAGAGAUUGAGGUCCAGUUCCCCUUAAGGUGGAACCUCCUCUGGCCCUUGUAGGUCCUCCCAGUGAUUCCAGAGUUGGCCCUCAUCUGUCCCCAAAGCAGACUUCCCAGCUCAGUGAUGGCCAAUCAGUUCAGCGGCUUAGGCCACAAACCUGGAGGUGACACUCUCCUCUCUUUUCUUUCUCUCGUAUUCCAAUCCAAUAAGUCCUCUUGGCUCCAUCUUUGAGAUGAAUCUAGGAUCUGACCCCUGGUGCAAGCCUCUGUCAUCUUCUCCUACAUUAGACAACAGUCUCUUUGCUGGUCUCCCUGCCUUGUCCCCAUCAUCUGUUCUCCCGUCAACAGCCAAAGCACAUCACUGCUCUGCCCCAACCCUCCUAUGUCUUCCAGUCUCCUCAGCAUCUCAUGUGAGCUCUGAGCCUCUCAGUCUCAGGUCUCACCUCCUACUUCUGCCUCACUUCCACCUUUUCAGCCCUUUGAGACUGCUCCCAUCCAGGGUCUGGCCCUACCGGCCCCUCACCUCCCCCAGGUAGCCACAGGGCUCCCUGCCUGGGUCCUUUAACCUUGGCUUAAAGGGCACUAUCCCCUAGAGGCCCUCCCUGACCCCCAGUGGAAAGCUGCACUCCUCGCCCGUCACACGCCAUGUCCCAACACUCUCACCCAGUUCUGUUUUUCACCUUGGCACUUCUC
RNAcentral lists this long non-coding RNA (1377 nucleotides) under Marmota monax (woodchuck). Lineage: Eukaryota; Metazoa; Chordata; Mammalia; Rodentia; Sciuridae. The record is from RNAcentral.